CUCCGGCCGCGCGCCGCGGCGCAGGCGGGCUUCGGACAGCUAAGGGGGCGGCGCCUGCGGGAGGCGUUCCCGGCGGCCGCCCCGGGGUCCCGCGAGGCAGCCGCCCUCGGAGGACGCGGAGCGGCUGAGGCCGGACGGCGGGCCGCGGACUGCUCUUCCUUACGGCGGAGGCGGGGGUCAGCGGGCGGCCGGGCGGGGGAGGCCGAGGCGCUCCGCGUCGCCAGGUAACCGAGCGCCCGCUCUAUCCCCGCCCUUCCGCUCGGGCUGCCCUCGGCGCCGCCUGAGCCGCCGUGCGCGCUGCGCGGGCGCCGACUCCGCCGACGCCUGGGUCGGGGGCGGGGGGCGGGACCCGGCCGCGCGGGGACGGGCCGCCGCGGGCGUGCGGGGCCGCGGGGCCACACGCCGGGGCUCCUCGGCGCUCCGGCUCCGCUGAGGGCGCCCGCCCGGGGGCCUCCGGCGCGAGGCCCGCUUCCUGGGCAAGAUGGCGGCGCCCAGGCGUCUGUGAGCGCCGCGCUGAGGAGCCCCGCGAGGCCCCGAGCCCUCCACCCCGGGCGGUCUCGCGUUUCCCGGGAGCGGCAGGUCUGAUGAGACGGCUGCAGAAGCAGGAGAAUCAGCUGCUGGAAUAUGCAGGCCCCCUCCCAGCUGAGCACAUGGGUUCUUCAGCCCCUCUGUUUGGAAACUGUCUGCUUAAAUGUCUUAUCUUUCUAAUCUUGGCUUAAAGGUGACUUCUUCAGCCAGCCCUCCCCCCCUGCUUACCUAUAACUAAAAAUAGUGUCUCCAUUUGUAUCUUGGGGUUUCUCUUUAUCUCCUACUUAAAUCGUUGGUUUUACUCACUGCCAUUCCGGACAGCUGGCGCCGGUCCUGUCGCAUAGGUGGAGUUGAGCACACGUGUGUAAGGUGAGUGGAUGGAAGCUGCUGUGGGGGCUUCGGGAAACGGCCCUUAGUGCCAGCGCAGCUCUUGUCCAGGACACGUUCAGGGAAGAUGGAAGUGUUUCUGUCUGCCUCGUCCACUGUGGCAGCCGCCACCCCCAUGUGGCUCUUGAGCACUGGAAAUGUGACUCUUGCAACUAAGGAGCUGAAUUUUUAACUUUAGUUUUUACAUGGAAGUGUUAGUUGGUCGAAGUUGUGUCGGACUCUUUGUGACCCCAUGGACUGUAGCCCGCCAGCCUCCUCUGUCCGUGGGAUUUCCCAGGUGAGAAUACUGGAGGGGGUUGCCAUUUCCUUCUCCAGGGGAUCUUCCUGACCCAGGGACUGAACCCAGGUCUCCUGCAUUGCAGGGGGAUUCUUUACUGUCUGAGGCACCGGGGAAGCCCUGGUGUUUACGUAGCUGUAUAUAGAUUAGCUGCUACUAUAUUGGACACCUCAGUCUAGAGGAUGUGAUUUUGUUAGCUUCUAACCUUGAAAAACAUUACCAUUGACUACAAACCCGUUGAGCACAGGUAAUCUCACAGCCUUUGAGAAGGUCUGCUCCUGGCAGUGCGAGUGCAGCUCGUUUUACAGUGCGCGACAGGCGUGUUUUAUGGUCUGCUUGAGAAGCAGAAGAAGAUCCUGUGUCCUCAAUGGCCUUCCAUGACUUAGGAUUGUCGUUGCACUUUCCGCCCAUUCUUUAUUUUUUUAAAUUUUUAAUAUUUUAAUUGCAUUUUAUCCAUAGUCCGGAGCCCUUCUGGGCUUUAGUUUGUGGGAGGAUCCUUCAGGCACAAGGGCUGAGUUCUCUGCAUUCCAGCCUUCUGCGGCUAACCACCGUCAGCUGCUACUUACGUAAGAAUUGCUUUCUGACUACAUGGCAUGCACCUGACCUUGAAGGCCGAAAGCUUUUUAAGUGAGGAGUGGAAUUAAAAAGAAGGAGAAUUAGCAGAUUAAAUUUUAUAUGUUAGUAUUUUCCAAGUGACACUAGGGUUAGAAAAAGAAUUAUCAAGAUAAACUUUGAUAAUUACUGCAUUAGAGCCAUAAGAUUUACACUUUGUCUAUAUUGAUUUAUUUGUCUAUAUUAAACUUUUGUCUGUAUUGUCUGUAUUGAUGCUUUGUCUAUAUUGUCUUAGGUCUUGAUAUGAGAAAUAAAAAGAAUUAGUAGUUGCAUCUUUUACUUAUUAAAAAUAAGAUAUUUAAAAUUCAUUUUCAUGGUGGAUUUUGAAAAAUUGUGUUUAUAUAUCGAUGUAAUAAAGGUCAGCAUCUUAGCCAUUUUAACGUGUGCGGCUCAGUGGCGUUAGUGCGUUCACCAUCACUGCCAUCCUGUUGCUAGAACUUUUCAUCUUCCCAGACCCUGUUGAACCCUGACUGCCCCCUCUCCUCUCCCCUUGGCCCCUGGGAACAACUGUUUUACUUUUAUUUCUAUGAAUUUGAUGAGUUUUAAAAUUCUUUUCCAUAAAUUAUUGUCCACACUAAUAUGUAAUACUAAUAUCUCGUGUCUCCAGGAAUCACCUCGUUUAAGAUAACCUUGGCCUACCUGAUGCAUAGUUGCCUUACCUUGGGAAAUGGCAGACACUUCUCAUUAAGGACCCGAAAUUACCUGCUUUAGUCCCUGCCCCCAGCCAUCACUAACCUUAACAUGCUCACCUCGAGAAAGAUCAUCUUGCUCAUUUGAGAAAACAGUAACUCUAGAGAAUGACUUUUUAGUGACAGAUGGUAAGAUGGACUUCCUUGAAUAUGUUUUCAUGUGCUUGGGAUUCCAAACUUUUUACCAGUCUCCACUGAGAAAGGCAAAAAGAACCAAAAACAGUCACUUAGUAUUUUUAAUACCUCCCACCUUAGUAUAAUGCUAAGUAAGAAUUUACCUACAAUGCAGGAGACCUGGGUUCGAUCCUGGGUCAGGAAGAUCCCUGGAGGAGGGAAUGACAACCCACUCCAGUAUUCUGGCCUGGAGAAUCCCAUGGACAGAGGAGCCUUGUGUCCAUGGGAUCACAAAGCUGGACACGACCGAGUGACUAACGCACCGUAGUAUAACAUCAAUGUGACCACUGGACACAUCUGAAUUGACAGGGUCAGGAUGGCGUUUAGUCCCCUCGUGAGCACCAGGAAUCUGGGGGAUUUGAAGGGAAGCGUGUCCCUCACCAGAUACUUUUUAGUCGCUUGGUCUGACUCUUUGUGACCCUAUAGACCAUAACCUACCAGGCUCCUCUGUCCAUGGGAUUCUCCUGCGAGAAUACUGGAGAUUUAUUUGUCUAUAUUAAACUUUUGUCUGUAUUGUCUGUAUUGAUGCUUUGUCUAUAUUGUCUUAGGUCUUGAUAUGAGAAAUAAAAAGAAUUAGUAGUUGCAUCUUUUACUUAUUAAAAAUAAGAUAUUUAAAAUUCAUUUUCAUGGUGGAUUUUGAAAAAUUGUGUUUAUAUAUCGAUGUAAUAAAGGUCAGCAUCUUAGCCAUUUUAACGUAAAGCGGCUCAGUGGCGUUAGUGCGUUCACCAUCACUGCCAUCCUGUUGCUAGAACUUUUCAUCUUCCCAGACCCUGUUGAACCCUGACUGCCCCCUCUCCUCUCCCCUUGGCCCCUGGGAACAACUGUUUUACUUUUAUUUCUAUGAAUUUGAUGAGUUUUAAAAUUCUUUUCCAUAAAUUAUUGUCCACACUAAUAUGUAAUACUAAUAUCUACGUGUCUCCAGGAAUCACCUCGUUUAAGAUAACCUUGGCCUACCUGAUGCAUAGUUGCCUUACCUUGGGAAAUGGCAGACACUUCUCAUUAAGGACCCGAAAUUACCUGCUUUAGUCCCUGCCCCCAGCCAUCACUAACCUUAACAUGCUCACCUCGAAAGAUCAUCUUGCUCAUUUGAGAAAACAGUAACUCUAGAGAAUGACUUUUUAGUGACAGAUGGUAAGAUGGACUUCCUUGAAUAUGUUUUCAUGUGCUUGGGAUUCCAAACUUUUACCAGUCUCCACUGAGAAAGGCAAAAGAACCAAAACAGUCACUUAGUAUUUUUAAUACCUCCACCUUAGUAUAAUGCUAAGUAAGAAUUUACCUACAAUGCAGGAGACCUGGGUUCGAUCCCUGGGUCAGGAAGAUCCCCUGGAGGAGGGAAUGACAACCCACUCCAGUAUUCUGGCCUGGAGAAUCCCAUGGACAGAGGAGCCUUUGUGUCCAUGGGAUCCACAAAGCUGGACACGACCGAGUGACUAACGCACCGUAGUAUAACAUCAAUGUGACCACUGGACACAUCUGAAUUGACAGGGUCAGGAUGGCGUUUAGUCCCCUCGUGAGCACCAGGAAUCUGGGGAUUUGAAGGAAGCGUGUCCCUCACCAGAUACUUUUUAGUCGCUUGGUCUGACUGUGACCCUAUAGACCAUAACCUACCAGGCUCCUCUGUCCAUGGGAUUCUCCUGCGAGAAUACUGGAGUGGGUUGCCAUUUCCUUCUCCAGGGGAUCUGACCCAGGGACUGAACCCAUGUCUCACAUCUCCGGCAUUGGCAGGCGGGUUCUUUAGCACCAGCACCGCCUGGAAUGCCCAGAUCUGGGCACAGCACAUACGGUGCAUGAGAGGAGGCGACUGUUCCGAGCGGAAGGCUCUAAAGCCUGUUCAGUUGCCCUGGGAGAAUGCUGAGGGUUGUGUGGCUUGUGAGGGUGGGCAGGCGGGCUGGAUGGCGGCGACCCUGUAGAGACAGUUCCGAGGCCCUGCCGACGGACUGAAGGGGCGGGGGGAGGCCGGGAGUGGUCUCAGGUCCCCAGGUUGUAACCCACAUCGUGUGCCAUCAAGAUCGUUUAGUGAGUAUGCUUGUUCAUGCCUCGUGUUGUGCCUGUGCAAGAAGGGAGUCUUUAAUAUACUGCAGGUGGAAUUGUUGAAUUAAAUAUGUGCCUUUUAAAUGUCAAUAUGUUGUCAGACUUUCCUCUAUAGAUGUUUUACCGUUAAUGCCCGUUUCUUAGACCCUUGUAAUAUGGUAUCAACACGCUCUUCCCCAGUCUGUAGAUUUUCAAAAAUCUAAUUGCGUUUUAAUUUGCAUUUCUCUGAGUUUGCACAUUGUUCUAUAGCUUUCAGAGGCAUUUCCGAUUCCUUUCAGGGCACUUGGUGGCACUCUCUGAUUGCCAUUUCUCUUCUCGGAAGUUGGACUUUCUGGCCUUCUUUCAGGGUUUCUCACAUCACGAUCCCAGAGUUUGGGUGGAUAUAUUGGGAUCUUAUUAACGCAGUCGUUAUCUAUUCCUAUUUUAAGAGCUUGUCUUCAUGAAGAGGGAGUGUCGUGUUUCUGCAGGUGCCUUCAGAG
Molecule: long non-coding RNA, 5177 nt
Organism: Bos grunniens (domestic yak)
Lineage: Eukaryota; Metazoa; Chordata; Mammalia; Artiodactyla; Bovidae
Source: Ensembl